This 253-nucleotide ribosomal RNA is filed under the name uncultured bacterium. RNAcentral describes it as "partial 16S ribosomal RNA". It matches the Rfam family "Bacterial small subunit ribosomal RNA", at positions 524 to 776 of the family's 1533-position model. The record is from RNAcentral.
UACGAAGGGGGCCAGCGUUGUUCGGAAUUACUGGGCGUAAAGCGCACGUAGGCGGAUCGUUAAGUCGGGGGUGAAAUCCUGGAGCUCAACUCCAGAACUGCCUUCGAUACUGGCGAUCUUGAGUCCGGAAGAGGUGAGUGGAACUCCUAGUGUAGAGGUGGAAUUCGUAGAUAUUAGGAAAAACACCAGUGGCGAAGGCGGCUCACUGGUCCGGUACUGACGCUGAGGUGCGAAAGCGUGGGGAGCAAACAGG